RNAcentral lists this ribosomal RNA (1135 nucleotides) under Enterococcus faecium. RNAcentral's name for it is "bacterial SSU rRNA". It matches the Rfam family "Bacterial small subunit ribosomal RNA", at positions 104 to 1226 of the family's 1533-position model. Lineage: Bacteria; Bacillati; Bacillota; Bacilli; Lactobacillales; Enterococcaceae. The record is from RNAcentral.
GGGUGAGUAACACGUGGGUAACCUGCCCAUCAGAAGGGGAUAACACUUGGAAACAGGUGCUAAUACCGUAUAACAAUCGAAACCGCAUGGUUUUGAUUUGAAAGGCGCUUUCGGGUGUCGCUGAUGGAUGGACCCGCGGUGCAUUAGCUAGUUGGUGAGGUAACGGCUCACCAAGGCCACGAUGCAUAGCCGACCUGAGAGGGUGAUCGGCCACAUUGGGACUGAGACACGGCCCAAACUCCUACGGGAGGCAGCAGUAGGGAAUCUUCGGCAAUGGACGAAAGUCUGACCGAGCAACGCCGCGUGAGUGAAGAAGGUUUUCGGAUCGUAAAACUCUGUUGUUAGAGAAGAACAAGGAUGAGAGUAACUGUUCAUCCCUUGACGGUAUCUAACCAGAAAGCCACGGCUAACUACGUGCCAGCAGCCGCGGUAAUACGUAGGUGGCAAGCGUUGUCCGGAUUUAUUGGGCGUAAAGCGAGCGCAGGCGGUUUCUUAAGUCUGAUGUGAAAGCCCCCGGCUCAACCGGGGAGGGUCAUUGGAAACUGGGAGACUUGAGUGCAGAAGAGGAGAGUGGAAUUCCAUGUGUAGCGGUGAAAUGCGUAGAUAUAUGGAGGAACACCAGUGGCGAAGGCGGCUCUCUGGUCUGUAACUGACGCUGAGGCUCGAAAGCGUGGGGAGCAAACAGGAUUAGAUACCCUGGUAGUCCACGCCGUAAACGAUGAGUGCUAAGUGUUGGAGGGUUUCCGCCCUUCAGUGCUGCAGCUAACGCAUUAAGCACUCCGCCUGGGGAGUACGACCGCAAGGUUGAAACUCAAAGGAAUUGACGGGGGCCCGCACAAGCGGUGGAGCAUGUGGUUUAAUUCGAAGCAACGCGAAGAACCUUACCAGGUCUUGACAUCCUUUGACCACUCUAGAGAUAGAGCUUCCCCUUCGGGGGCAAAGUGACAGGUGGUGCAUGGUUGUCGUCAGCUCGUGUCGUGAGAUGUUGGGUUAAGUCCCGCAACGAGCGCAACCCUUAUUGUUAGUUGCCAUCAUUCAGUUGGGCACUCUAGCAAGACUGCCGGUGACAAACCGGAGGAAGGUGGGGAUGACGUCAAAUCAUCAUGCCCCUUAUGACCUGGGCUACACACGUGCU